Molecule: ribosomal RNA, 440 nt
Filed under: uncultured bacterium
Lineage: Bacteria
Description: partial 16S ribosomal RNA
Rfam family: Bacterial small subunit ribosomal RNA
Source: RNAcentral
CCUACGGGAGGCAGCAGUGGGGAAUAUUGCACAAUGGUGGAAACCCUGAUGCAGCGACGCCGCGUUAGUGAAGAAGUAAUUCGUUAUGUAAAGCUCUAUUAGCAAGGAAGAAAAUGACGGUACCUGAGUAAGAAUCCACGGCUAACUACGUGCCAGCAGCCGCGUUAAUUCGUAGGGGGCAAGCGUUAUCCGGCUUUAACGGGUGUUAAGGGAGCUUAUACGGCAGUGCAAGUCUGGAGUGAAAGGCGGGGGCGCAACCCCCGGACUGCUCUGGAAACUGUACGGCUGGAGUUGAGGAGAGGUAAGUGGAAUUCGUAGUGUAGCGGUGAAAUGCAGAGAUAUUAGGAAGAAAACCAGUGGCGAAGGCGGCUUACUGGACCGUAACUGACGUUGAGGCUCGAAAGCGUGGGGAGCAAACAGGAUUAGAGACCCUAGUAGUC